GAUGAACGCUGACAGAAUGCUUAACACAUGCAAGUCUUUGGCGAAUCUGUGCUUGCACAGGCUAGCCAAGGCGGACGGGUGAGUAACGCGUAAAGAACUUGCCCUGCAGACAGGGAUAACAGACGGAAACGACUGAUAACACCUGAUACAGUUGCCGGCACGCAUGUGCCUGGCAAUGAAGAGAGAUGCUGCAGGAGAGCUUUGCGUCCUAUUAGCUUGUUGGUGAGGUGACGGCUCACCAAGGCGAUGAUAGGUAGCCGGCCUGAGAGGGUGAACGGCCACAAGGGGACUGAGAUACGGCCCUUACUCCUACGGGAGGCAGCAGUGGGGAAUAUUGGACAAUGGGGGCAACCCUGAUCCAGCAAUUCUGUGUGCACGAAGAAGGUUUUCGGAUUGUAAAGUGCUUUCAGCAGGGAAGAAGAAAGUGACGGUACCUGCAGAAGAAGCGACGGCUAAAUACGUG
This 463-nucleotide ribosomal RNA is filed under the name uncultured bacterium. RNAcentral's name for it is "partial 16S ribosomal RNA". It matches the Rfam family "Bacterial small subunit ribosomal RNA", at positions 28 to 507 of the family's 1533-position model. The record is from RNAcentral.